Molecule: ribosomal RNA, 245 nt
Filed under: uncultured bacterium
Lineage: Bacteria
Description: partial 16S ribosomal RNA
Rfam family: Bacterial small subunit ribosomal RNA
Source: RNAcentral
UAGGGGGCAAGCGUUAUCCGGAAUUACUGGGUGUAAAGGGAGCGUAGACGGUAAUGCAAGUCUGGAGUGAAAGGCCGGGGCCCAACCCCGGGACUGCUCUGGAAACUGUAAAACUAGAGUGCAGGAGAGGUAAGUGGAAUUCCUAGUGUAGCGGUGAAAUGCGUAGAUAUUAGGAGGAACACCAGUGGCGAAGGCGGCUUACUGGACUGUAACUGACGUUGAGGCUCGAAAGCGUGGGGAGCAAA